RNAcentral lists this ribosomal RNA (163 nucleotides) under Xizangia bartschioides. RNAcentral's name for it is "5.8S ribosomal RNA". It matches the Rfam family "5.8S ribosomal RNA". From Rfam's summary of the family: 5.8S ribosomal RNA (5.8S rRNA) is a component of the large subunit of the eukaryotic ribosome. It is transcribed by RNA polymerase I as part of the 45S precursor that also contains 18S and 28S rRNA. The record is from RNAcentral. Lineage: Eukaryota; Viridiplantae; Streptophyta; Magnoliopsida; Lamiales; Orobanchaceae.
GUCAAAACGACUCUCGGCAACGGAUAUCUCGGCUCUCGCAUCGAUGAAGAACGUAGCGAAAUGCGAUACUUGGUGUGAAUUGCAGAAUCCCGUGAACCAUCGAGUCUUUGAACGCAAGUUGCGCCCGAAGCCCCCGGCUGAGGGCACGUCUGCCUGGGCGUCA